Microcebus murinus (gray mouse lemur) is the source of this 588-nucleotide non-coding RNA. NCBI's taxonomy places the organism in Eukaryota, Metazoa, Chordata, Mammalia, Primates, Cheirogaleidae. The record is from RefSeq and is a predicted model, not a curated record.
AGCCCAGGCAACAGAGUGAGACUCUGUCUCAAAAAAAAGAAUGCUCAUUCAAGAGAUGGGUCAUUAAAGAAAUUACUUAAAUUCAAAAACUUUCCUCAUUUAUAAAAAACUAGAAUGGUGUUUUUCAGAGUUUUUUGCAAGGGUACUUGGAGUGGAUUUGCACCCAAGCAGCAGCUAGAGUUGUCACAGUUCCAUCUUCAGCUUCACGAUGCUUCCCUUGGCCAAAAACACACUAAGCCGUCUCCAAGUUUGAAACAUGCAGCAAACAAUGGCAAGGCAGAGCCACCAGAAACGAACACCUGAUUUUCAUGACAAAUAUGGUAACGCUGUAUUAGCUACUGGAGCCCCUUUCUGUACUGCUGUAUGGACAUAUGUGGCAACACACAUUGGAAUACAAUGGAACCUGUCCCCUGUUGGCAGAGUCACCCCAAAGGAAUGGAGAGAGGAGUAAUCAUCCCAGCUGAUGUAAUACUGAAUUGUUUAAAAACCAACUCAUAAUUGAUGCCAAGUAAAAUCACUGUGUACCCAUUAAAAUAUGGCAUUACUGAAGAAAUAAAGUACAUCUGAAACCUUUAAAAAAAAACAAAA